UCUUCCGCAAUGGACGAAAGUCUGACGGAGCAACGCCGCGUGAGUGAAGAAGGUUUUCGGAUCGUAAAACUCUGUUGUUAAAGAAGAACAAGGAUGAGAGUAACUGCUCAUCCCCUGACGGUAUUUAACCAGAAAGCCACGGCUAACUACGUGCCAGCAGCCGCGGUAAUACGUAGGUGGCAAGCGUUGUCCGGAUUUAUUGGGCGUAAAGCGAGCGCAGGCGGUUCUUUAAGUCUGAUGUGAAAGCCCCCGGCUCAACCGGGGAGGGUCAUUGGAAACUGGAGAACUUGAGUGCAGAAGAGGAGAGUGGAACUCCACGUGUAGCGGUGAAAUGCGUAGAUAUGUGGAGGAACACCAGUGGCGAAGGCGACUCUCUGGUCUGUAACUGACGCUGAGGCUCGAAAGCGUGGGGAGCAAACAGG
RNAcentral lists this ribosomal RNA (422 nucleotides) under uncultured bacterium. RNAcentral describes it as "bacterial SSU rRNA". It matches the Rfam family "Bacterial small subunit ribosomal RNA", at positions 362 to 776 of the family's 1533-position model. The record is from RNAcentral.